UACGUAGGGACCAAGCGUUGUUCGGAUUUACUGGGCGUAAAGGGCGCGUAGGCGGUCAGCACAAGUCAGUUGUGAAAUCUCCGGGCUUAACCCGGAAAGGUCAACUGAUACUGUGCGACUAGAGUGCGGAAGGGGCAACUGGAAUUCUCGGUGUAGCGGUGAAGUGCGUAGAUAUCGAGAGGAACACCUGCGGCGAAGGCGGGUUGCUGGGCCGACACUGACGCUGAUGCGCGAAAGCCAGGGGAGCGAACGGG
RNAcentral lists this ribosomal RNA (254 nucleotides) under uncultured bacterium. RNAcentral describes it as "partial 16S ribosomal RNA". It matches the Rfam family "Bacterial small subunit ribosomal RNA", at positions 524 to 776 of the family's 1533-position model. The record is from RNAcentral.